This 8445-nucleotide long non-coding RNA is filed under the name Fragaria vesca (wild strawberry). RNAcentral's name for it is "long non-coding RNA (FVES_LNC005552)". Lineage: Eukaryota; Viridiplantae; Streptophyta; Magnoliopsida; Rosales; Rosaceae. The record is from RNAcentral.
AAAAAUGUGUCGUUAUUUUAAUGUCAUGUACCUUUAUGAUUGUUUUGAAACUUGAAACACCAAAAUUAAGAGUUGAACAUUUGUCAUGUACUGUUCUUAAACUUUUUCCUAAAAUGUAUAAACGAACGGACCAAGUUGUUUCACCUAGUGAAACAUCAACUUGAGGAAAACUGUUGUCGGGGCUUAAGCUCUUAAAAUCCCUAAUGAACAAAAUAAAAAGUCAAUUACAAACUGUAACACCUUGACCCAGAUUUAAUUCAAGGGUAUAGUACCCAAAAUUCACUAAUUUCACUCAAAACUCAAUUAUCUAUAGAACUAAUACCUGACAAAUCCUGACAUGAGAGCCAAGUCUGAAGUCUCUAACCUCAGGUACAACGAAUCGUAGCUGGAAUACCCACCAAUUGAGUAAUUGAAAUUGUGGCGGCAGCACAAUGAAGAGAGGAAUUGAAUGAGAUAUUCCCGUCCAUCUUGUGGCUUGAUUGAGACAUCGAUUAGGGGUUUAGAAGCCUUGAAGCUUCUUGAGCCCUCUAUAGUCGAGACAGGUGAGAGAAGAAAUCCUCGGUCUCAAUCGCGUGUCUCAGGAUCGGUGGAGAAGAACCGUCUCCGGGAGCCGUGAUUUCUCUCAAGCCUUCUUCCCCCUCCUCUUGAUUGAUCCCAGAAAUCUCCCUCUCUCCCCUUCUCAAGGUCGGUGUUUUUAGAGAGGCCUCCUCUCCCGAGAGAUUUCUAGAGCUCUCCCUACGUCGGUCAUCCCCCCAAAGUCGAGAAUGACGUGGUCAUAUGAAGAACCCUCCUUCUUUCUCAUAUCUUCCCGACCUUUCCAAAUUAAUUUUUUUAAUUAUAUUUUUUAUAUAAAAUAUUUAUUUAUUAUUUCUAAAUUAUCCGGGUAUUACACAAAUUAUAUAGCACUGAACACACUACUAUCUCUAAACCCCUAAAAAAUAUAUGUUUAAAAUGCUCUUCUUCUUCAAAUAAUAUUCUGUUUCAACCUUCAAAGAACUGGCCUCAUCCUUAAAGCUCUUCAAUCACAACUCUAGACCUAGAGAGUGUGAUGAACAAAUAAACAAAAGUUCACCUCAACACAGAAUAAGUAAACAUUGACCUUUUAGUAUUUUGCAACAGAAGAACUCAAUCACUCCAAGAAAUAGAUUAUGUUAUUCAUUUCUUUGAGCUAGGUAGACGAUGUAGGGAAUUAGUCCUUUCAUCAAACUCGAAAGUUAGGGUGACACGACCCACCCCAAAUUUCACCCUGAAACCCAGAGUAAGUCGUGCGGGGACCAACUCCAAGGAAAAUUUUACCGAAAAAUCGGUAUAACCUCCCUUGAAAAUGGACAACCCUUCCUAAUAAUAUCUGCAAACACUUCUGAAAAUUUAAAUCCAACCUUAAACUCCUGGAGCCUCCGUGCUACCCAAAUCACAACACCACCCAAAUUAUUUACUAAUCUAAACAAAUCUCAUAUCCAACCAUUUAUCGGUUCAGAGCAACUCUAACAGGAAGAAAGAAAACAUAAUAAAUUAACGAGCGGAAGCUACAUGAUGACUAUGCCUCAUCCCCAUGUACGCCCGACCUCAACUAUGCAAUCCUGCAAACUGGGCAUUUUUAAAAUGAAGAGCCCAGGGGAAAACAUUUGAAACACGUUAGAGUGAGUGGACAAAAACAAAUUAACGAAUAAAAUAUUUAUGUUUUCCCUAAUCAAUUUCCAAGAAAAAUCGAAUGCAUGCUGCAAGCGAUAAAACUUUUAUCUCAUAAAUGUCGAGCCUCUCAGGCUCUAUAAUAUAUGUAUGUAUUUACACACGUCCAUACUCCCUAUAUAAAUUCAUGGGUCUAUAUAGGGCUACUACGCUCGCGUCCAACGCUCACGUCACGCCUUAAUGCGGUGCUACACUACGCCAUUAAGGUGGACAGACGGGUGUAUAAAUAUGUGCCCAUACCCCCUAUAUGAAUUAAACACUCAUAUAGGGCUACUACGCUCGCGUCCAAUGCUCACGUCACACCAUAAUGCGGCUAUAUGCUACGCCAUUAAGGUUGACAGACACAUAUGGCUAGCUAGCAUUAUAUAUACAUACUCUCUCUCAUAAAUACAUAUUUAUAUCCACCGAAAAUCCCAUUUUCGGUAACUCUCCAAGAGAAAUAAGAUUGUCAAAAAUUAAAAUGACGUCAAAAUGCUCCACGACAUUAAUUGUUCAUUCAUGAACCAUAGCAUGCAUAUUAUUUAAAACAAAAGUCCACUCACAACUCUAGGCAUAUGCCCGACGAAAUCCAAAUCGCCACUCCAGAGAGGUUUCCUCGAACCCUGGCACAAAUAUAAAAUUAAUUUCCCAACUAAAACUCCAAUAUUUAAACAAAAUAGGCAAAAUUAACCGAGAGCCAUAACUACGCUCAUCAUUGCCUAACUUCGAUAUUCUUAAAUCGAAACGAUCCGAACUUAAAUAUCAUACUCAGCAGCCGUAAUUACAACCUCCCCAAAAAUACGACUUAAAUCCUACGGCCGGAUUCUACAUUAAUUAACUGCCAAAAAUACCACACUUCGGAAAUUCAUAAACCUAUCCAAAACUCAUCCAAAAAUUCCAUAACUCACUUCAACAAACUCCCCUUAAUAUUCUAAAUUAAACCCUAAAAUCUUCCAAACAGUGGCGGCGCCGGCUGCGGCUCCGCGGGCAGCGGCGGCCGGAGGUCAAUUACGGCGACCUCCGAUUCUUAUGAAAUUUUGACAGCAUCUUCCUCUCAUCAUGCUCUACAACUUUCCUAACUAGCACAAACCCAAAUCCAAGCCUAACUAGGUCAAACGAGCAAAAAACAUCUAAAACACCCUAGAACUUCCACCUCUAAUUCUCCUUACCUGAAGCGAACCGGAGUGAGCCCUUUUAGGGCAAGGUAGCUGGGUUGGAGACCUUCAAAACCGUACCAAGCUUGCCCGGAUUGGUGGCCGGAGGAGGGAGUUCCGGCGAAGUGAAGCUUUGGACAGUCGGACCUUUCGGGUGGCACCGCUCUCUCACGGCGGAGCUAGGGCUCCUCUCACCGGUCCAGGGAGGUUGCUGGGUUGGAGGUCGACCGAACGGGACCGGUGCGGCGGCGGUUGGUGGCCGGACGGCGGCGGGAGGACUGCCAGAAAACCGGGCAGCGGGAGGAGCUCGGGGAGAGAGAAAACCGGGAAGAAAAAAAAGAGAAGAGAGAAAGUGGCUUUGGGCCUCCUCCCCCAAAACCGGUCCAACUUAAAUACCCAUUUAAAACAAACCCAACUCCAAAAAUAAAACACCCCGAAAAAUAAUACCUGAAUAAAAAUUACCUUUUACUAGCUAAAAUUUACUAUUUUUACCGUCGUCAUAUUUUCCUCCUACGAAUAAUCCUCCGAGCAUAACCGUCCCCGAAACCCCUCUAGGGACCAAUUAAACUAUAACUUCAAUGACGGAGACGGUAAAAUUCUUAUUAUAACCAAGCUAGUAAAUAAGGUAAAAAUUUACUGGUCGGGAUGUGACAAUUCUCCCCUCCUUAUAAAAAUUUCGUCCUCGAAAUUUACAUACCUGACAUUCGAAGAGAUAGGGAUACUGCUACCUCAUUUGCUCCUCUGAUUCCCAAGUAGCUUCUUCUACUUGGUGACUCCUCCACAGAAUUUAACAAGAGGAAAAGAUUUGCUUCUAAGCAGUUGCUCCCUCUGGUCUAAAAACUGAACCGGAUCCUCAUCAAAGGUCAAAUCUUUCUACAAAAUAAUCCGCUGCUCUUGCAACCCAUGAGAGAAAUCGGCAAUAAACUUGCUAAGCAUGGAUACAUGAAACACAUUAUGUAUCCUGGAUAACUCUGGAGGCAAAACCAACUGAAACGCAAGAGAGCCAACUUGAUCUAAAAACCCAUAAGGACCAAUAAAUCUCGGACCAAGCUUUGCACGUUACUAAAACGUACCACCCCUUUCCAAUGAGACAAUUUCGAAAACACCCAAAAUACUCACUUGAAACUCAUGGUCCUUCCUGCGAACAUCUUUAAAACUCUACUAACUACUAAGAGCUGCUUUAAGUCUAACUCUGACUCUUUUAACCUUUUCAUCUGAAUCCUGAAUUAUUUUAAAUCUUCUCGAAGACUCUAAGUCCUUCGUUGAACUACCACUAACGUUAACACGUAAGUGAGUUCAGUGAUACCUAUUCCAGAGUACGAGUACCCGUAGGUAUGCACACUCUUUCCUAAGCAAUGGAAAUAGCUAACCCAAAUAAAACGCAUAAAUUUGCUAUCACAAUCGGGCUCAAAUCUCCUAACGUCACGCAACAACCUUGAUAGCACGCUACUCACAACUCGACAAUGAAGGCCACUUGCUAGGAAACUAAAGUUCACAUAUUCCCACAUGCUCAUAGGGGUCAAAAUUAAGACCCGCUAAUUGAACAGAUUUUUAAGGAUGCAGACACUACAGAACUGCAACAAUCACUCCUACUACUGAGACACCUCGCAGAGUCUUUCGCGGAGCCAAAGCUCUCGCAAGUCCACAAGAUAACCUUGCUCUGCCUAAAUGACCAGUCCACCAACAUAUGAUAACCUCGAUUGCCGAAAUAACAUUAUGAAAAGAUCAAUACCACGACACUUAGAUCUCUCCGCCAAAACUAUUACAUUACCAUUUUAUGCACCACAAACUAGCAACUUAUGGGAAUUUCCAACUCUCUCCUGAUUCUGCUAUCUCCACUAUUAUUUACCACAAACCAGAAGAUAAUCUGAAGCAUGAUUAANNNNNNNNNNNNNNNNNNNNAUUAAAAAAAAAAACACACGGCUCACUCUAGCCGUUCCAUAAGAAUGAUUCUAAAUGCCGAAACCUUUGGAUCCGACAAACACAUUUCUUUUUCUACCUCCAAAAAUAAUUAAUCUGAUAGAAGAAGACGAUCUGAAAAAUCAGACACGCUCAAGUCUCCUACACAUCCCAGGGCCAUGACUUCCCACCAAAAAGAUUCUUCGAAAACCGAGCUUGCAAUAACAUGCGACUAACAAAAACAAAGACAAAUUUUUAUACAAGACCUCCCAAAUCAUACUUGGAUCAAUAAGUGGUCCCACCACAAUACGAUCCCGAGAAGAGACGCUGAUCAACCUAUCAAAAACUACUACUCUUAAUAUUAAAACUCUUAAUAAACCUUGACUCUAGACGCUUCUUGAGUCAACAGGGGAAAACCCUCUUCCAUAAUGCUACAUCAUGAAAUAUACCUACAACGACACAAACCAUCAAAUCAACAUCACCAUGCAACUCUUAAACUACCACAUAGGAUUUACAACAUCAAGACUCAUUGCUUAAAUGAACUCCAGUUCACUUGGGAUCACCACUGGAUUUAUUCCGGAUCCAUGACUACGACACAACUACCAAUUUAUCAUUUACCUCAAAACUGCGACAAAAUAACCAGAAUCUCUACCCUUCAAAUCUAAGCGUUAAAUCCGCAUUCCAAAAUUUCAAGCUCUGAGGCUGCUACCCAAAAACUACAAUAGGAAUAGUUUAAAUAUUCUCACACACACCACAACCAAAACUUUACUCCAUCUCACCGAAUUAGAAAUAAGGUGAGAACAGAUCCUCCCAUUGUUGUGUCGUAGUUAGUCACCCAUUGCGACGAAGUGAUGCCAAAAAUCAACUUUGAUCACAAAUUUGAGACUUACAUCAACCACCCGGAAUGACAUUGCUUAAAAAUUACUUUGGACACCCACACACUCUUGCUUUAUGAUCCAGUGGGUUCUAUUCUACCGCUGCCACUUCCACCAAUUUCAUGCAACUACCUUAGAAUUUAUAAAACAAAAACUCAUGACAAGACCUAUUUAAAAUUUCACCAUGAGCUGUCGUAAAACCGAAACGACCACAACCAUCCCGCUCUUACUCCACCAUUACUUUUCAAUUCCAUUUAAAUUUAUCAUCUUCCCAAACACUCAACAAAUUUGGAAACCAAACUUCAACACCCAGAAUUCUGAAAGAAUCCAUAACGGCCCCACGAUUAAAAUACUAUAGCCGACAGAAGUCGCUCAAUGCUUUAAAGCUUGCUCGAAGCUCGAAACUUUUGAUGACACCAUUCAAUUUGCAAUAAUUCCCCGACCGCGACAUAAUAUCAAGUUGUCACAACGCAUUGACGAAUGACUUUUGUAAAACCAACAAUCCAAGUCAUUUUACUUAGUGCUUUAACAAACUUCAACUAACCCACAAUAAAGACCAAAAUCAUCAGAAAUCUUACUAUUCAUCGACUACUAACAUCCAUCAUUUUCAAAAUAUAUUACCACUACCAUCUGGAUAAAAUAGCUCUAAGGAUAGAAACAUAUCCAUAAUUAAGUCACUGCAGAAACCAGAACAUAUACCGCCAUAACCAAAAUUAUCCCAACAUGUUCCCAAUUGAUUUAUGUUGGGGAUAAAAUUGUCGGCAAAAUGGCCUUCAAUCAAGACUUAUCUAAAUUGACAUUUAGCUCUUUAUGCAGCAAUACCUUACCACCCAAUCACUAGCCACAAAUUUCCUAAAACCUUGAUUAACCCAAGACUAGGGUCCUCAACAACUCAUAUAGGUACCCAUUUGAAUUACCAUUGGAUACCUCACCUCAUCAUUUCAACUAACUUUUUCAUCAAUAGAAUACACCACUACUUCGAACUUUCCUUCCAACUCAACUCUCUCAGAAGUCACGUAACUCAAUACCAAAAUCUCCCAUCAAUCAAUUUUUGACUCCAAUCUUGCCCACUAAAAAAAAUGGACAACUUCAAGACAUUAAUCAUCAACAUUUCACCCAACAGAUUUGCACAAGAUGCUCACCUUAGCAUCUUAAUCUGAAACCUUAAUCUUAAUUAACCCAAUCAAUCAUUGGAUACCUGAAAGGAAUGCUAACAAGCUUUUUCGUUCCCCACUCGCAAAACAACUCCAACAAUUAAUAUCAAAGAUAUUAAAUUAAUGAACCUUGGAAUAGGUGCAAACUAUACACCUUUUCAAAACUCGAAGGAUGAACACUCAAGAAGUCAGCGUACGGAGGCAUAGUCUUAGAGAUGUAGACAUUUAUGGCACACUACUGUCCAUAAAUAAAAGAAGAACAACUACAUCACAACCCUAAUCAACACAUAGUGUCUUAAGCAUAUAAUGCUAAUAGAUCCGCCGCGGUCGGACCAUCACUCUAUAGACACUGAGCAUGAUCAAGAAUAUGAGGUAGUACUAAAAAGAGAAAGGAAACGAAUAACCUAGUGCUCUGAUACCAACUGACACGACCCACCCCAAAUUUCACCCUGAAACCCAGAGUAAGUCGUGUGGGGACCAACUCCAAGGAAAAUUUUACAGAAAAAUCCACUUCUGAAAAUUUAAAUCCAACCUUAAACUCCUAGAGCCUCCGUGCUCCCCAAAUCACAACACCACCCAAAUUAUUUACUAAUCUAAACAAAUCUCAUAUCCAACCAUUUAUAGGUUCAGAGCAACUCUAACAGGAAGAAAGAAAACAUAAUAAAUUAACAAGCGGAAGCUACAUGAUGACUAUGCCUCAUCCCCAUGUACGCCCGACCUCAACUAUGCAAUCCUGCAAACUGGGCAUUUUUAAAACGAAGAGCCCAGGGGAAAACAUUUGAAACACGUUAGAAUGAGUGGACAAAAACAAAUUAACGAAUAAAAUAUUUAUGUUUCCCCUAAUCAAUUUCCAAGAAAAAUCGAAUGCAUGCUGCAAGCGAUAAAACUUUUAUCUCAUAAAUGUCGAGCCUCUCAGGCUCUAUAAUAUAUGUAUGUAUUUACACACGUCCAUACUCCCUAUAUAAAUUCAUAGGUCUAUAUAGGGCUACUACGCUCGCGUCCAACGCUCACGUCACACCAUAAUGCGGCUAUAUGCUACGCCAUUAAGGUGGACAGACACAUAUGGCUAGCUAGCAUUUUAUAUACAUACUCUCUCUCAUAAAUACAUAUUUAUAUCCACCGAAAAUCUCAUUUUCGGUAACUCUCCAAGAGAAAUAAGAUUGUCAAAAAUUAAAAUGACGUCAAAAUGCUCCACGACAUUAAUUGUUCAUUCAUGAACCAUAGCAUGCAUAUUAUUUAAAACAAAAGUCCACUCACAACUCUAGGCAUAUGCCCGAUGAAAUCCAAAUCGCCACUCCAGAGAGGUUUCCUCGAACCCUGGCACAAAUAUAAAAUUAAUUUCCCAACUAAUACUCCAAUAUUUAAACAAAAUAGGCAAAAUUAACCGAGAGCCAUAACUACGCUCAUCAUUGCCUAACUUUGAUAUUCUUAAAUCGAAACGAUCCGAACUUAAAUAUCAUACUCAGCAGCCGUAAUUACAGCCUCCCCAAAAAUACGACUUAAAUCCUACGGCCGGAUUCUACAUUAAUUAACCGCCAAAAAUACCACACUUCGGAAAUUCAUAAACCUAUCCAAAACUCAUCCAAAAAUUCCAUAACUCACUUCAACAAACUCCCCUUAAUAUUCUAAAUUUAAAACCCUAAAAAUCUUCCAAACAGUGGCGGCGCCGGCGCCGGCUCCGCGGGCANNNNNNNN